Molecule: non-coding RNA, 81 nt
Organism: Oncorhynchus nerka (sockeye salmon)
Lineage: Eukaryota; Metazoa; Chordata; Actinopteri; Salmoniformes; Salmonidae
Source: the annotation of a RefSeq genome assembly
GUCCUUCAUCUCUUGUGGCUCAGUUGGUAGAGCACGGCGCUUGCAACGCCAGGGUUGUGGGUUCAAUUCCCACGGGGGGCA